This 26-nucleotide transfer RNA is filed under the name Gymnema stramineum. Its description in RNAcentral is "Marsdenia straminea partial tRNA-His". The record is from RNAcentral. Lineage: Eukaryota; Viridiplantae; Streptophyta; Magnoliopsida; Gentianales; Apocynaceae.
GAGAGUGAGGGGGCGGAUGUAGCCAA